Molecule: long non-coding RNA, 1130 nt
Organism: Sapajus apella (tufted capuchin)
Lineage: Eukaryota; Metazoa; Chordata; Mammalia; Primates; Cebidae
Exons: 2
Source: RefSeq, a predicted model, not a curated record
AAUGAUGCGUGCCGUGGACAGCCCUGCCCCAGGCCCUUGUAAAGGCAGGUCUGCUGGGCUGAGUCCCAGCUCAGGAGACCUGCGUCCCUGGAAUAUCAUGUUUGGUCUCUAACUUUUCCCUUUUCUGAGGCCAUGAGACCAGGCCUCUGCUCCCAUUUGUUCCUGUGGCUUCUCAGAGCUCCUGGGCUACCUGUCUCUGGGAUGGAGAGGUGGCUGCUGGGAGAUGCACAUAGCCACCAUCCCAGAGAGUACAAAGGGAGUAGAAACGCUCUCAUUUAGCACCUCGAUAACUCCAUCCCUCCAUCAUCACGACCUCAGAGGGCUCAUGGUGGACCUCUGCAGGAUAGGGUCUUUCGAAGGAUUUUCUCUAUAGAGAUCGCAGAGGUGCUCCCUGCAGCUUGGAGGAUCGAAACAUCAAAGAGAACUCCCAAAUCACAGUUAAGCCCAGUCACACUUAUUUUCCUUUUUCUCCCCACCCCACUCUGCAGACUUCUUCAUAGGAAUGCUUAAUUCUUUGGUCCAUGUCUUCAUGUACGUGUAUUAUGGACUGGCCAGGCUGUGGCUUCCUAUGUGGCCCUACCUCUGGUGGAAACGAUGUCUUACCACACUACAGCUGGGUCAGUUUGUGGCCACUGCUGCCUCCUCUUUCUACAGUCUCCUCAUCGAGUACCCCUUCUCUGAUGAGUUCAACAUGUCUGUGCUCCUGUAAGCCCUCAGCCUCCUCAUUCUGUUCCUCAGCUUCUACCACAAGACGUGCCUGAGGGGCAAGCAAGAGAGGCUGAACUAGGAGUAGGACCCAGGGACUGAAGCCAGCACAGCGUCCCUACAGAGAAUUGGGCGGAAGGUAGCAUGGCUUCCAGCUUACUGGUGCUGAGCAGAUUUCUCUGGGUCUCCAUUGUAUCCUCUGAAGGAAGAAGGAGGAUUGCCUUCUGUCCAGACCUCAGGAUCAAAGAAAUAUAUCCAACUUCCUGUGGUCACUUCCGUUAGAGCACUUCUUAUGUGGCUUUGUAGCUUUGUGUGCAUCUCCUUCCUCUAUUAGACCUAAGCCCCUCUCGGGAGGGACUCUCUUAUUCUCAAUGUUCCCCAUACCUGGUACAGCAUCUCAAUAAAUGUGUGUUUGGAUCCUUGGA